GUGGGGAAUAUUGGACAAUGGGCGAAAGCCUGAUCCAGCCAUGCCGCGUGUGUGAAGAAGGUCUUCGGAUUGUAAAGCACUUUAAGUUGGGAGGAAGGGCAUUAACCUAAUACGUUAGUGUUUUGACGUUACCGACAGAAUAAGCACCGGCUAACUUCGUGCCAGCAGCCGCGGUAAUACGAAGGGUGCAAGCGUUAAUCGGAAUUACUGGGCGUAAAGCGCGCGUAGGUGGUUCAGUAAGUUGGAUGUGAAAUCCCCGGGCUCAACCUGGGAACUGCAUCCAAAACUGCUGAGCUAGAGUACGGUAGAGGGUGGUGGAAUUUCCUGUGUAGCGGUGAAAUGCGUAGAUAUAGGAAGGAACACCAGUGGCGAAGGCGACCACCUGGACUGAUACUGACACUGAGGUGCGAAAGCGUGGGGAGCAAACAGGAUUAGAAACCCGGGUAGUCC
RNAcentral lists this ribosomal RNA (450 nucleotides) under uncultured bacterium. RNAcentral describes it as "partial 16S ribosomal RNA". It matches the Rfam family "Bacterial small subunit ribosomal RNA", at positions 354 to 796 of the family's 1533-position model. The record is from RNAcentral.